AUGGAAAUUCUUCGUAAUUUUGGCGCAGCCUCGGGGCUGCACAUCAACCCCUCAAAGUCAACGGCCCUACCCAUCAGAUGCGAUAAUAUAGACCUAGGGCACAUACUACAAAAUUUCGGAGGAAUAGUAGGGAACUUCCCAACGACUUAUCUGGGUCUGCCGCUGACGCUAGCCAGGCUGCGACUCGCGAACCUACAGUUCAUCAUAGAUAGGAUCAAAGCCCGCCUUGCGGGAUGGAAAGGGAAGCUGCUUCCAUUGGCUAGUAGACGUGUGCUGGUUCGAUGCGUCCUCAGCGCCAUGCCGACGUUCGCUUUGACCGUCCUUCGAGUGCCAAAGAAGUUACUAAAGGAGAUUGACAAGUGCAGGCGCAGAUUCUUAUGGAAGCAAGAUGAGGAGAUCACAGGUGGUAGCUGCAAGGUCAACUGGAUAGCUGUUUGCGCUCCCACAUCGCACGGAGGACUGGGCGUCCUCGACCUCGAGCGGUUCAGCCGAGCCCUGAGAUUACGGUGGCUCUGGACUUCCUGGACUGACCCGGAGCGAGCAUGGGUUGGUACAGAGCCACCGUGCAGCGCCAUAGACAAAACCCUUUUUAGGGCAGUGACCACGGUCACCAUCGGUGAUGGCGCAACGGCCCUAUUCUGGCACUCAUCCUGGAGCGGCCGCACACCUUAG
RNAcentral lists this ribosomal RNA (672 nucleotides) under Triticum aestivum (bread wheat). RNAcentral describes it as "partial small subunit ribosomal RNA". Lineage: Eukaryota; Viridiplantae; Streptophyta; Magnoliopsida; Poales; Poaceae. The record is from RNAcentral.